Non-coding RNA from Ceratotherium simum simum (southern white rhinoceros), 835 nucleotides. The record is from RefSeq and is a predicted model, not a curated record. NCBI's taxonomy places the organism in Eukaryota, Metazoa, Chordata, Mammalia, Perissodactyla, Rhinocerotidae.
UGGCCUGGUUCUCUUUGCAGCUGGAGCUGUGGUGGCUGGAGCUGUGAUGUGGAGGAAGAAGUGCUCAGGGGAAAAAAGAGGGAGCUACGCUCAGGCUGCAGGUAAGUUUGAGUGGGGAGUUGAUCCCUGAGACCCUUGAGAUAGUGUAGACAGAUCCCAUGGGGGAGCUCACUCACCCCAUAGUUCUUCCUUAAGUCUCAUCUCCUCUGGGCUCUGACCGCAUCCUGUUUUGUUCUACCCCAGGCAGUGACAGUGUCCAGGGUUCUGAUGUGUCUCUCUGGACAGGUGAGGCCCUGGAGGCCUGAAGUGAGGGAGGUGUUGGGGAGAAGGGCCAUGACUAGGUUAUAGAGAUUCUCUCAUUGGGACAUUUUGAAUAGCUGGUGGGCUGUUGAGAAUGUCAACACUAUGUGACUGACCUGAAUUUGUUCGUGAUUAUUUUCUUUCCCAGUGUGAGACAGCCGCCUUCUGGGGGACUGAGUGAUGCAAGAUUUGUUCACGUUCCCACUUUGUGACUUCAAAUCUCUUGAAUUCUCUUUCUGCAACUGGUAUCUGGUGUCUGCGUUCCUAUUAGCAUAAUGUGAGGAGGUGGUGAGACGGGCCCUCCCCCUCCCCAUCAUCACCCUCCCCCCCUACUGACCUGUGUUCUUUCCUUGAUUGAGCUUCCUGUUCCAGCAGAGGCGGGGCUGGGCCAUCUCCAUCCCUGUCUUAACUUCAUGUUGCAUUGAGCAGUAAUGACUUGCUUCCUUACUGAAAAUAUGAAUCUGGAUAUGAAUUUGUUUUUUCCAAUUUUUUUCUAAGGGAUUGAUGUGUUAAUUAAAGGAGAAGAUUCCUAAAG